Molecule: ribosomal RNA, 403 nt
Filed under: Fusobacteriota bacterium
Lineage: Bacteria; Fusobacteriati; Fusobacteriota
Description: Fusobacteria bacterium partial 16S ribosomal RNA
Rfam family: Bacterial small subunit ribosomal RNA
Source: RNAcentral
UGGGGAAUCUUGCACAAUGGGGGAAACCCUGAUGCAGCGACGCCGCGUGAGCGAUGAAGGUUUUCGAAUCGUAAAGCUCUGUCCUAUGGGAAGAUAAUGACGGUACCAUGGGAGGAAGCCCCGGCUAACUACGUGCCAGAAGCCGCGGUAAUACGUAGGGGGCGAGCGUUGUCCGGAAUUACUGGGCGUAAAGGGUUCGCAGGCGGAAUGGCAAGUCCGUUGUAAAAGGCGAAGGCUCAACCUUCGUAAGCAUCGGAAACUGUCAAGCUUGAGUGAAGGAGAGGCAAGUGGAAUUCCUAGUGUAGCGGUGGAAUGCGUAGAUAUUAGGAGGAAUACCGGUGGCGAAGGCGACUUGCUGGACUUCAACUGACGCUGAGGAACGAAAGCGUGGGUAGCAAACAGG